UAGAGUUUGAUCCUGGCUCAGGAUGAACGCUGGCGGCGUGCCUAACACAUGCAAGUCGAACGAAGUCCUCGGACUUAGUGGCGGACGGGUGAGUAACGCGUGAGAACCUGCCUCGAGGAGGGGGAUAACAGCGGGAAACUGCUGCUAAUACCCCAUAUGCCGAAAGGUGAAAAGAAAUUUGCCUUGAGAGGGGCUCGCGUCCGAUUAGCUAGUUGGUGAGGUAAGAGCUUACCAAGGCGACGAUCGGUAGCUGGUCUGAGAGGAUGAGCAGCCACACUGGGACUGAGACACGGCCCAGACUCCUACGGGAGGCAGCAGUGGGGAAUUUUCCGCAAUGGGCGAAAGCCUGACGGAGCAACGCCGCGUGGGGGAAGAAGGCCUUUGGGUUGUAAACUCCUUUUCUCAGGGAAGAAGAACUGACGGUACCUGAGGAAUCAGCCUCGGCUAACUCCGUGCCAGCAGCCGCGGUAAUACGGAGGAGGCAAGCGUUAUCCGGAAUUAUUGGGCGUAAAGCGUUCGUAGGCGGCGUUUCAAGUCUGCUGUCAAAGGCCGAGGCUCAACUUCGGAAAGGCAGUGGAAACUGAAAAGCUAGAGGUCGGUAGGGGCAGAGGGAAUUCCCAGUGUAGCGGUGAAAUGCGUAGAUAUUGGGAAGAACACCGGUGGCGAAAAGCGCUCUGCUGGGCCGAACCUGACGCUGAGGGACGAAAGCUAGGGGAGCGAAUGGGAUUAGAUACCCCAGUAGUCCUAGCCGUAAACGAUGGAGACUAGGUGUUGCCUGUAUCGACCCGGGCAGUGCCGAAGCCAACGCGUUAAGUCUCCCGCCUGGGGAGUACGCACGCAAGUGUGAAACUCAAAGGAAUUGACGGGGGCCCGCACAAGCGGUGGAGUAUGUGGUUUAAUUCGAUGCAACGCGAAGAACCUUACCAGGGCUUGACAUCCCGCGAAUCUCGGCGAGAGUUGAGAGUGCCUACGGGAACGCGGAGACAGGUGGUGCAUGGCUGUCGUCAGCUCGUGUCGUGAGAUGUUGGGUUAAGUCCCGCAACGAGCGCAACCCUCGUCCUUAGUUGCCAUCCUUAAGUGGGGCACUCUAGGGAGACUGCCGGUGAUAAACCGGAGGAAGGUGGGGAUGACGUCAAGUCAUCAUGCCCCAUAUGUCCUGGGCGACACACGUACUACAAUGGUCGGGACAGCGAGCAGCCAACUUGCGAAAGUGAGCUAAUCUCUCAAACCCGGCCUCAGUUCAGAUUGCAGGCUGCAACUCGCCUGCAUGAAGGAGGAAUCGCUAGUAAUCGCAGGUCAGCAUACUGCGGUGAAUCCGUUCCCGGGCCUUGUACACACCGCCCGUCACACCAUGGAAGUCGGCCAUGCCCGAAGUCAUUACUCUAACCGUUCGCGGAGGAGGGUGCCGAAGGCAGGGCUGAUGACUGGGGUGAAGUCGUAACAAGGUA
RNAcentral lists this ribosomal RNA (1448 nucleotides) under uncultured bacterium. RNAcentral's name for it is "16S ribosomal RNA". It matches the Rfam family "Bacterial small subunit ribosomal RNA". The record is from RNAcentral.